This 6941-nucleotide long non-coding RNA is filed under the name Sus scrofa (pig). Its description in RNAcentral is "lncRNA (ENSSSCG00005006050.1)". Lineage: Eukaryota; Metazoa; Chordata; Mammalia; Artiodactyla; Suidae. The record is from RNAcentral.
GAUUGUAAUGAUAAGUAUAAGCUUAUCAUUAAAAAAAGCUGGAAACUACAGCAACACGUAAAGAGGAAACGGUGCUGCAGAGUCUGCUCCCAGAGGCUACCACCGCUGCCACUGCCACCACCACAGCAGGGGUGGCCCCCUUUCUUCAUGCUCAGACUCAGACACGGCCCCGGUUUCUCCCCUGGCCGACGGCUGUGCUCUGGCUCCCGCCUCCCUGCCUCCGAGGGAGGGUUCCCUGGGUAUUUUUGUGAAUUGUGAGCUCUCUGCUCUGCUCUCGGUGGACCCCGAGCCCUCCCGGAGCAGCGCUGGCUGGGCGGGCCCUGGCGGGAUCCAGCAGGCUUCUUGUUCGGGACUCGCCAGCCCCGGGGUUUGCUCAAGGGAGGAAGCCCAUCCAAGACAAACUUUGUGGAGGAGAGCGGGCAAGACCCUACAUCCCAGACUGACCCCGCGCCAAAUCCAGAUCACUGGCAACUUUCUCUGAGCCCCCGUGGGGAAUUCAGGCAGAACAGCCGUGACAGGCAACGGUGGCUGCCUCAGGAGACCCGGCGAACCGCCUCACACCCCUUGGCUCGCACGUCCCCAGUUUCUCUCCCAUCGGUCCCGUCGGUCCAGGGGCCAGGCUGGCCCUCAGGCAGCACCUGCCCUGCAGUGGCAGAGCCUUGCGUGUUUCAUCUGGCCUUGCUUAUCUGGACAUGGGACAGAGUUAAGGGCCGGGGCUGGAGGAGCGGACCAUGGGAAAAUCUAGCCCAGGCCCCAGCCGUAUGCAGGACGCCUCUUGCCUCGAGAAACACCUCGGUGCACCUGUCAGGAGACCAGGCCCUUGUUGAGGAGGUGAGAGAGGCAGGGACAUGCCCUGUGCUCUUUUGUCCCAGAGCCUCAGACUGCCACAGUGUGACCUGCCCAUCCUGUGGGUGGCAGACAGAAGAUGCACCCAGACACGCCAGGCUCCACUCCAGGCCCCGGGAACAGUGAUGGGGCUGUCGGGUGGGCUCUGUCUCUGCCUCGAAGCCCAGCAGUGCUGCCCACACCAUGGCAGCCAUGAGCAGUCCCUGCCCCCACCGGCUGGCAGCGGGCUGGCAUUCUGGGAAGCGGCUUUGGUUUCUAACCCUGGCAGUCCUGCGAGUGGAGGGCAGCCCUGCCUAAUGCUUCUCUCAAACCCAACCCGCGCCUUUCCAGGGGACGUUCCCUCUCUUCCCUUCCGAAGGUCAAGUCAGGAUCCCUACAGGGAAGGAAGGUGGCUUCCCUAGUUCCCUCUCCCUCACUGCCAUCAGCCCCAUUGUGCCUGACAGCCCUGCCCAUGCCCAGCCUCCAGGGAUGAGGACACACCGGUGCCCACCCCACCCGGGCACUUGUCCCGGACAGUGGCACACAUCCCGUGGGGUCUCUCUCCUCCCCGUCGAGACUCUCGCCCCGUCCCCCUCCCCCACCCUCACCACGGAGUCCAUGUACCAAGUCCUCCUGCCCCCUCACCCACUCUCCCCAUAGGAGUAACUGCCGUGGCACAGACAAUGGCGCUGUAUUGAUCAGUACAAUUCCUGGGCACCUCCGGCCCGUCUCCCCGGGAGCUGGGACAAUGCAGCUUUGAUACACAGAGCAGAUUCUCAGCAGGUCCUUGGGCCGGGGGGAGCCCUCACACCCCCAUUCUCCUCCCCCGCGCCCCCCGCCACACAGCUAACUCUUGCUGCUCCUUUGCACAGUGGCAACUUUCUGGGUCACUUUUGCUGGUGUCUGUCUCUCUGGCUGGCUGUGCCUGCCCCUCCCUGGCACAGACCACUCAGCCCCUCUCCCCACUUCCAGCCCUGUCUCCCAGUCUGCCUGGCACCAGAGAGGGGGCUCGACCUUCUGGAAGGUGACCGACCUGUUCUGGGGAGGAGGGGGCCGCAGGUCCCUGUGCCGCGGCCAUCCCAGGGUGAGCACUUGGAGCCGAGCGCCGCGUGUCUCCUCCGCUCAUUCACACCUCUGCCAGCUCCGGGCGACACUGACGCAUCCCCUGCCUCUUCCACUGCCGGCUGGGCAGCAUCAAUUACUUUCACCUCAUCUCCUCCCGAAGCUCUGCCUCCCCCUCCGUGGCCCUCCCUUUCCGGCCAGCCCUGUGCGGGUGCUCCACAGCUAGAGUGGGGCGUGGGGUUUGUUGUGCUUCUCCCUUGUUCCCAGCAAGUUAUUGGAACAAAAAACACAUACACACACUCACUAACGCAGGGUGAGGCAGAGCAGGCACAGGGGAGAGAGAGAGAGAGAGAACGUGCACGGCUCGCUCCCAUCCUAGCUCGGGGUCUGGCGUCCAGAUACUUCGGAGCACAGAGACCUGGCACUUGGUGGGCUCCCGGUAGGGUGGUUGGGUGCCACUGGGCACUAGACAGUGAGGCAGCAGGAGGAAGGAGGCACGGCCCGCCAGCCACCACCAGAGCAUCUCGCAUUUCUUGGCGUGCUGUGGGCUGGGGGGUGACGGGCCCUAGAGCAGUCCCCCGGGGAGCUGGGGACCCCACCCAGCCAAGAGGAUGGCGUGACCUCACGAGAGAAGGGAAUGCGGUAGGACCUUGGCAAACAUCCGUCAGAGGCAAGCACGCUGAGUUCUGAUGUAAAGGAAGCUUUCCUGGGGUUUGGUCCGUGUGGUCACCCCACUGGGAGCAGGGCAGCAUGAGAAUAUUUUUUUCUCUUUUUAGGGCCGCAUCCACAGCAUAUGGAAGGUCCCAGGCUAGGGGUCUAAUCAGAGCUGCAGCUGCCGGCCUACACCACAGCCACAGCAACGCAGGAUCCAAGCCGCAUCCACAACCUACACCACAGCUCACAGCCAACACUGGAUCCUUACCCCAACGAGCGGGGCCAGGGAUGGAACCUGCGUCCUCGCAGACACUAUGUCGGGUUCUUAACCUGCUGAGCUACAAAGGGAACCCCUGAUCAUUUUUUUUUUUUUAAGGGGAAAAGGCUUUAGACUCAGACAGGCUUGGGUUCAAACCCCAGCUCUGGUAGUUCUCACUAUAUGAAUCUCCUUAGGCAAGUCACUUUAACGUAUCUGGUCUUAGUUUCUUCCUCUCUAAAAUGGGAAUAACAUCCACCCAGCAUUGAAGCUACUGAGCCUUGUUAAUAACGGCCAUAGAUAGUAACGGGAGGUGCCCACUGAAACAGACACGGUGCUAAACUCUUCGUGUACAUAUAUCUACCUCAAUUCAUCGACUCUUCCUAACAGCUCCUUGAGGGAGAUGUGUUAUUAUGUCCAUGUGGGGGGAGAGGGUGGGGACUGACCUUGGCUCAGGCAAGUCUGCUAGGAAAGGCCUCAGACCCCAAUGACUGAGCCGCUCCCUGGGCCAGACUCACGCAGGUCUCCAGACACGCUCCCCUGACUUCCUGUGAGAGCCCAGACUGAGGGCCAAGGCCCUGGCUGGCCCACUGGCUCCAGGAAGGCCCAGUCACCCAUGAUGCCCAAAUGCUCGCUUCCACCCAGGGUGGGCUCCGGGCUUUGGCUGCCCUGGCCUGGGCUGGGUGCCCGGAACAGGCAGCCCUGGCUGGACAGCUUUCUCUGGCUCUGGCCAGGGGGACAGGAGGCGGCAGCAGCCCAGCUGGGUCCUGGCCGUAAUGAGGCCUCAUUAGUGGGAUCCAGCUGCUCCAGCCCCACUCAGGGAGGCCGGCUCCCCCAAGCCCGCCUCUGACUUUUCUUAAUAAGAGUGGGCAUUCUUCCAGAGGGCCAGGGAGCCUAGGGGGUUGGUUGUGCCCUGUGACUCCGAGGGAAGGUCCUGCUGAGCCCGGACUGAAAAGGGCUGGGGGUGGCAGGGCUGUAGGGAAGCUGUGUGAGGGGAGAAGAAGGCUCAGGCCCGGGUAGAUGGGCCCCGGGGAGGCUGAGGAGCGGAAUGAGACCAAGGGGAGUGGAGAGCAGGUCCUGGGUCCAGAGAGGAAGCCUGAGGAGGGUUGGGCCUCUUCCCCUGGAUCUAAAUAUUGUCCAUUUUGCUGGGGAGGGGGGUAGCUGUUGAGCUAGGAUCAUCUCGGAUCAUGGAGCUGAUUAACUAAGUAAGUCAUUACUCAGGCUGUCCUGGCUAGGAGAGCACCUCCUUUGCACUAGGCCUCGUAUAAGGAGUGGGCCCACUGUGUGCCAGUGCCUGAGCUGAAGAGGACCUACUGUGUGUCAAACCCAUCCUAGCAAAGCACCUAAUAUAUGCCAGGUCCAGUGCUGGGAGAGCUGCCAGUGUGUGCCAGGCUUGGUGUUAAGAGAGCACCCUGGGGGUUCUAGGUCUCGAACUAGAUGGGUGCUCCAUGUAUACCAUGUUCUGUGCCAGCCAAGGACCCAAUAUAUGCCCAGACCCGAGCGGGGUGAUCACCCACUGUAGACCUGGCACUGUGUAGGUGAAUGCCCAAUGUAUGCCACGUCUGUACUAGUUGAGCACUUGUCCAAUGCCAGGACUCGUGCUAAGUGAGUUCCCGGAACGUGACAGGCCCUCUACCAAGGGAGGGCCCAGCAUGUGCCAAGGCCUGUGCUAGAUGAGCUUCCAAUGUGUCAAGCCCAUACUAGUUGAGCACCUGCCACAUGCCAGGACCUGGGCUAGGUGAGCACCCACUGUGCUCCAGGCCCUGUGAUGGCUGCUGCAAACAAGAAGCAGCCAAGCCCUCUUGUCAAAGCAUUAUAGAACAGGUCAGGGUGGGGCAGUCCCAGGUGGCCCGUGUGUUUUCAAAGCCUCCUAGCAUGAUUUAGAUGCCCUGGCACUCAGGCCUCUAGCCCGGGUGACUCUGCUCUUAUUCAUCACGAGGCUUCCCAGUGGCAGAAGCAACUAAGUCCUCAAAGAUGGGGGGGGCGAGGCCAGUGAGGCUCACCGAGGCCUUUCUGCCCAAGAUGCCAUGCGAGUGGGGAACGGGCACACAGGAGGGACUGAGUCAGCCAGCUUGUGGACUUUGUGCGAGGCCAUGGGGUUGAAGCUGACCCCGUGGGGCUCUCCCGUCCUAGGCUCCUCUCCUCCAGCUCUGUCUCUGCUGAGCCCCAGGCAGCCCAGCCCGACAUGUGUAUAGUGGCACUAGGUCUCCAUGAAAGAGCCCCCCCGCGUGCCCCACCUCCGGUGCCCCCAAGCAUCCCAGCUGCUCCCAAGCUUGGAGGCACCCUGGCCAGCUGGGUUCCUGCACGACCCUGUCCUAGGAGCUGCUGAGGCGUGAGGGAGGCAGCUGAGCUGGUCUGGCAGAGACCAUCUGGGCUGGGAGUGCGGGAGAGACACGUGCGGCAGGCAUGUGGGCCUGGGCACGUGCUGGGAAGUGGACUGUCCUCCAUGGGACACCUGCCACACGAAGAGCCCAGCAGAGGCUCCAAUGAUGACACGGGGUGGACAAUGAAGACCCCUGGGGACCCAUGCCCUCACCCCUAAACCUGAGGCCAAGGGGGACGGAAGUGAGGAACCCAUGGCAGGGGCCAGCUGCCUAUUCCCAGUAUCCCAGGGCACAACAGCAACAGAAGCCACAGACCUGGGAUGGUCCAAAUGCCAGUGGCUUACACACAUGGCCCUCAGUACCCUCCGCGCUGCCCCACCACGGCGUCGGGAGACAGCGCAUCCUCAGUCAUUUGCCUUGAGGGCACCACAAGCACCUGAUAAAGGCCGGGGGCAGCUGCGUGGGGGCAUAUGCUAGCGACUAGCCCUGAAUGGAGGCGGCUUUGGUUCCAGUCUAGGACCCGAGAACAGCGUAGCCCAAGGUCAUUGGCAGAACUGAGAAAGAGGCUGGAACAGAAUCUCGAGCAACCACUGGGGGUGCCCAGGGGACAUGCUGUAAGCCUCGGACGCAGCAGUGGCGGGCAGAAGUCAAAGGUCAGAGGGCACAGAGGAAGCCAAGCCCCAGCUAUCUUUAGGCACAUCCUGGUGCUGGGAACAGGCGUCCCAAGGCAGCAUUCCCUUCCAGAGGCAGGCUGGCCUGCUGGCCGGCAGAGCCCCGGGUCCGGGAAGCUCAGCUCCAGCAGGGAUUCUGGGACAUUGUGAUUCAUGCUCCCUGUGCUGCCACGUGGGGCCCACAUCUCUUCUGUCCGCCCGCCCCAGUCCUUGCAGGGUCACUCCAGAGAAAGUAGAGCAGCCAGCAAGUACUCAGAGGACUUCUUAAGUUCCGUGGGACUCAGAGAAUCUCCAUGCAGGAGAGGGGCAAGGCCAUAGCCCACUUCCGGCAACGGGCCCUUGGCCAUCCCAACACUUCCGGGAAGGGCGAGGCCAUUUCCGACGCCCAUCACAGCCUCUCCCCCUAGCAAGCAUUCAGCUCCAGGAGACCCCUCUCUCUGCCCACACCUGAGCACUCAGAGUUCAGGGUGGCUCAGGAAUACUUUGAGAAGCUUGGUUCACCCAGACUUGUUCUCAUCAGGAGGGGGCCAGACCAGAGCAGGCCUGAGGGGCUGGGUGCUAGAAGGUCAGACCAGGGCAGGAGAGAGGGUCCUGGAGCACCGCGGCCAGCUUCCUCCCCCAGACCAUGCCCUAGGACCAAAGACUCUUGCAUCUCAGAAGGCCUCGGUGAGAGACAGGGAUUGUUUGGGGAGGGCUUGGCCAAUCCAUCUUUCACCAAGUGAGAACAGCAAUAGAAGAAUGGAAGAGGGGAAGGGAGGAGCCGAGGGAGGGGCCAGGCCCAGUCACUGCCUCCUCCUCUGACAGCUGCCCAGGCUCACUUCUUCCCAAGGCAAGAUCCCCAGAGAAGAAAUGCAGUCCCUGCCCUGAGGGUGGCUUCCUGGCUCCCGAUUCCAGUGCUGGCCUGUCUGGUCUAUGGGUGAGCCAUCCUCCCCUCACCCAGGCGCCUCUCCUGUCCUGGAGCCCCCACUGGGUCAACUUCAACCCCACGGCCUCACCCCCAGUCCUCCCUCGAGCCCUCACCCAGGCCCUGCCCUUGCCAGCCGCUUCUCACCACCCCUCCUGGGCUCUGAGGUAGCUGGCAAGGAAGGGCUGUUGCUUGGGGAAGGGCGAGGAGUUUUUCUUUUCUUCUUUUUUUUUUGUCUUUUUAUG